ACUCAAAGGAAUUGACGGGGGCCCGCACAAGCGGUGGAGCAUGUGGUUUAAUUCGACGCAACGCGCAGAACCUUACCAGGGUUUGACAUCCUGUGCUCACCCCAGAGAUGGGGCUUCCCCGCAAGGGGCGCAGAGACAGGUGCUGCAUGGCUGUCGUCAGCUCGUGUCGUGAGAUGUUGGGUUAAGUCCCGCAACGAGCGCAACCCUCGCCUUUAGUUGCCAUCAUUUAGUUGGGCACUCUAAAGGGACCGCCGGCGACAAGCCGGAGGAAGGUGGGGAUGACGUCAAGUCCUCAUGGCCCUUACACCCUGGGCUACACACGUGCUACAAUGACGGUGACAAUGAGCAGCGACCUCGCGAGAGGCGGCGAAUCUCAAAAAACCGUCCCAGUUCAGAUUGCACUCUGCAACUCGAGUGCAUGAAGGUGGAAUCGCUAGUAAUCGCAGAACAGCAGGCUGCGGUGAAUACGUUCCCGGGCCUUGUACACACCGCCCGU
Molecule: ribosomal RNA, 496 nt
Filed under: uncultured bacterium
Lineage: Bacteria
Description: partial 16S ribosomal RNA
Rfam family: Bacterial small subunit ribosomal RNA
Source: RNAcentral